CCUACGGGGGGCAGCAGUCGAGAAUCAUUCACAAUGGGGGAAACCCUGAUGGUGCGACGCCGCGUGGGGGAAUGAAGGUCUUCGGAUUGUAAACCCCUGUCAUGUGGGAGCAAAUUAAAAAGAUAGUACCACAAGAGGAAGAGACGGCUAACUCUGUGCCAGCAGCCGCGGUAAUACAGAGGUCUCAAGCGUUGUUCGGAAUCACUGGGCGUAAAGCGUGCGUAGGCUGUUUCGUAAGUCGUGUGUGAACGGCGCGGGCGCAACCCGCGGACGGCACAUGAUACUGCGAGACUAGAGUAAUGGAGGGGGAACCGGAAUUCUCGGUGUAGCAGUGAAAUGCGUAGAUAGCGAGAGGAACACUCGUGGCGAAGGCGGGUUCCUGGACAUUAACUGACGCUGAGGCACGAAGGCCAGGGGAGCGAAAGGGAUUAGAUACCCCUGUAGUC
Molecule: ribosomal RNA, 446 nt
Filed under: uncultured bacterium
Lineage: Bacteria
Description: partial 16S ribosomal RNA
Rfam family: Bacterial small subunit ribosomal RNA
Source: RNAcentral